This 484-nucleotide ribosomal RNA is filed under the name uncultured bacterium. Its description in RNAcentral is "partial 16S ribosomal RNA". It matches the Rfam family "Bacterial small subunit ribosomal RNA", at positions 30 to 507 of the family's 1533-position model. The record is from RNAcentral.
AUUGAACGCUGGCGGCAGGCCUAACACAUGCAAGUCGAGCGGAUGAAGGGAGCUUGCUCCUGGAUUCAGCAGCGGACUGGUGAGUAAUGCCUAGGAAUCUGCCUGGUAGUGGGGGAUAACGUCCGGAAACGGGCGCUAAUACCGCAUACGUCCUGAGGGAGAAAGUGGGGGAUCUUCGGACCUCACGCUAUCAGAUGAGCCUAGGUCGGAUUAGCUAGUUGGUGGGGUAAAGGCCUACCAAGGCGACGAUCCGUAACUGGUCUGAGAGGAUGAUCAGUCACACUGGAACUGAGACACGGUCCAGACUCCUACGGGAGGCAGCAGUGGGGAAUAUUGGACAAUGGGCGAAAGCCUGAUCCAGCCAUGCCGCGUGUGUGAAGAAGGUCUUCGGAUUGUAAAGCACUUUAAGUUGGGAGGAAGGGCAGUAAGUUAAUACCUUGCUGUUUUGACGUUACCAACAGAAUAAGCACCGGCUAACUUCGUG